AAGCUCGUAGUUGAAUUUCGGGGUUAGUAGGUUGGUCAUGCCUCUGGUAUGUACUGGUCUCACUGAUUCCUCCUUCCUUAUGAACCGUAAUGCCAUUAAUUUGGUGUUGCGGGGAAUUUGGACUGUUACUUUGAAAAAAUUGAGUGUUUAAAGCAAGCUAACGCUUGAAUACAUUAGCAUGGAAUAACGAAAUAGGACGUUCGAUCUUAUUUUGUUGGUUUCUAGGAUUGACGUAAUGAUUAAUAGGGAUAGUUGGG
This 257-nucleotide ribosomal RNA is filed under the name uncultured Glomus. RNAcentral's name for it is "partial 18S ribosomal RNA". It matches the Rfam family "Eukaryotic small subunit ribosomal RNA", at positions 624 to 886 of the family's 1831-position model. The record is from RNAcentral. Lineage: Eukaryota; Fungi; Glomeromycota; Glomeromycetes; Glomerales; Glomeraceae.